This 329-nucleotide ribosomal RNA is filed under the name uncultured eukaryote. RNAcentral's name for it is "partial 18S ribosomal RNA". It matches the Rfam family "Eukaryotic small subunit ribosomal RNA", at positions 1470 to 1796 of the family's 1831-position model. The record is from RNAcentral.
CCCUUAGAUGUCCUGGGCCGCACGCGCGCUACACUGACACGCCCAACAAGCAUAUAACCUUGACCGAAAGGUCUGGGCAAUCUUAAAAAACGUGUCGUGAUGAGGAUCGCCGAUUGGAAUCAUUCGGCGUCAAUGAGGAACGCCUAGUAGGCGCGUGUCAUCAACGCGCACCGAAUACGGCUAUGAAUUUUGUACACACCGCCCGUCGCUACUACCGAUUGAAUGGCUUAGUGAGUUGCCCGGAUUGCAGCCUUGUGGAGGGUUUCCUUUGCAUGGAUUGCGAAAAGGGUUUCAAACUUGGUCAUUUAGAGGAAGUAAAAGUCGUAACA